GGGGAAGCUGAAGCAUGAAGGCUCGAGGAGCACACAGACACCUACACACAGCUCCGCGGGCAUGUGGGGACCCAGACCCACCCCCACAGCAGACACCCCCACAGAGCACUCAUGGCCCCCACAGAAAUACACCCACACUCAUCACAGCAAACCAAAACAAUCACACGCCGGUACACAAACACACACACCCCCGCACCAAUCCAGGCAGACACAAAGCUCACGGCGACAGGCAGAUCUGAUUCACACAGACACAGGCACAGGUGCUUCCUGAUGCCACCCUCUCUUGGUCACGUGCCAGCACUUGGAGGGAGGAAAGUGCCUCACCAGGCUGAGAUGCCCAAGGGACCCCCCAGGGAGGGAAAGCAGGACACACUGGGACAGUUGCUUCCAGCCCUGUCCACACCCUUGUGCCCAUCAGGCCAAGCCACUGGUGAAUAUGCUGCAAAAAAUAUGCUGGAACUUCUAUGAAUACCACAGGGUGUGAGAAGAAAACAUUAGAACUUCUAUUUUGUACCUGUGUUACUCCACAACAAGAAAGCAAUCAGCUUGAUCAAUGCCUACUGUAAAGACGGCACCGCCCUCCGGAGGUCCUUUCUCAGCCCUGGUGUUCGGACAGCCACAUCCCCUCGCAGCAGGGGGAGGCCUGAAGCAUAGAGGGGCCCAUGCAGGUCUAUUCUGUUUCAGCGAAUUGCCUGGGAAAUAAUCCAGGAUCCAUUUCGUGUGGUCAUCUUGUCUCCCUGGUCCCCUCCAGCCUUUCCUCAUCUUUUGUGACCUGGUCACUCUGGAAGGGCGCUGGCCAGUUAGUCCACAGGAUGGGCCUCCCCUGGGGCUUUUCUGAUGCUUCCUUAUGAUGGCACUGGCAUCCUGAGGGGGAGGACCACAGAGAGGAGGUGCUCCUCAUCACACCACAUGGGGGUCCAUGCACCAGUGCCACUGCUUUCCAGGGCUCUUCACCUUCAUCACUGGUGGAGGUGGCGUCUGCCAAGAAGCAGAAAGUUGAGGCUUAGAAGGUGCACGGCCCUACCUCUUCCGAGGUGCCCCUGCGGGCUGUCUACAGACCAGGCAGCACAUGCCUGAUAGCAGCUGCAUAAGGAAAAGCAGGAGCCAGCUCGUGCACAGUGGCCUCAAGUGUGCACUGGGCAUGUUCUCUGCCUCACCAUCCCUGUGUGACAGAUGAAGCUUGAGAAGCCUCUGCCUGGGUGCGCAGCCCCACAGCCCAGCCUCUGCAGAGUGGGAGGGGAGCCAGGCCCUGCUUGGGUAGCAUUGCCAUGGCAACCUCUCCCCACGCUGCUCCUCGCUGAGACCCGGGCAUCUGUGGCCAUGGCGACUGGGCCUGCCACUGGCACAUCUGCAUAGCAACCAGAGAGGGUGCCGAGCGCAGCUGGGCCCCGCUCAGGAAAACAGGUACACUCAGAGCUUUUAUCAGUCAUUAAGGAGAAGCUGGGAGCCUCUAUGGGGAGAAAGGACAAAGGAUGCAGACAAAAGACUUGGAACCGCAAGUGGCUAAUAAAUCUAUGACAAGUGCCCAACAUUACCAGCGAUCAUAGAAAUGCAAAUGCAAACAACAAUAAGAUACUUAAAGAAAAACAACAA
Molecule: long non-coding RNA, 1593 nt
Filed under: Homo sapiens (human)
Lineage: Eukaryota; Metazoa; Chordata; Mammalia; Primates; Hominidae
Description: long intergenic non-protein coding RNA 1471
Source: RNAcentral